UACGGGAGGCAGCAGUGGGGAAUAUUGCACAAUGGGCGAAAGCCUGAUGCAGCUAUGCCGCGUGUAUGAAGAAGGCCUUAGGGUUGUAAAGUACUUUCAUCGGGGAGGAAAAAACAAAACUAAUAAUUUUAUUUCUUGACGUUACCCGAAAAAGAAGCACCGGCUAACUCCGUGCCAGCAGCCGCGGUAAUACGGAGGGUGCUAGCGUUAAUCAGAAUUACUGGGCGUAAAAGAGCACGUAGGUGGUUUUUUUAAGUCAGAUGUGAAAUCCCUGGGCUUAACCUAGGAACUGCAUUUUGAAACUGAAAUACUAGAGUAUCGUAGAGGGAGGUAGAAUUCUAGGUGUAGCGGUGAAAUGCGUAGAUAUCUGGAGGAAUACCUGUGGCGAAAGCGGCCUCCUAAACGAAUACUGACACUGAGGUGCGAAAGCGUGGGGAGCAAACAGGGAUUAGAUACC
RNAcentral lists this ribosomal RNA (457 nucleotides) under uncultured bacterium. Its description in RNAcentral is "bacterial SSU rRNA". It matches the Rfam family "Bacterial small subunit ribosomal RNA", at positions 340 to 786 of the family's 1533-position model. The record is from RNAcentral.